Long non-coding RNA from Myotis lucifugus (little brown bat), 6393 nucleotides. RefSeq lists it as uncharacterized. NCBI's taxonomy places the organism in Eukaryota, Metazoa, Chordata, Mammalia, Chiroptera, Vespertilionidae. The transcript has 2 exons. The record is from RefSeq and is a predicted model, not a curated record.
UCCAAGGUCACAGAGAUUUUCUCUUGUUUUCUUCUGAAUGUUCAUAGGUUUAUUUCUUACACUUAAUAAGAAUCGUAGGUCUAUGAUUCAUUUUGAGUCAAUUUUUGCUUGUGUUAUGAAGGGUCUAAAUUCAUUUUUUUCUUGUGAUUAUCUAAUUGUCCCAGCACCAUUUGUUAAGAAGAUGGCUGUGUAGUUGUUGACUCUGCUUUUAUUACUUUUGCACCUUUAAAGAUUGGAGAAGUAGGUAGAGCACAAAGAAUUGAUGUAUGAGUGAAGAGGAAGAGACUAUUCUGUGUUGAAGUUUUAAGCAUUUACAUGAGAGACUAAGCAUCUGGCUGAUGUUUUAAAGAACAACUUGAAUCACAAUUUAGUUUGUUUCCUUCAUCUUCCCCAUUCCCUCCCCAACCCUGCACUGAACAUCUGCUUCUUUUCUGCCAGAGGAAGUGAAAGAUUUAGGUCAUGCAUAAACACAAACUGUCUUUACUGCACUGUUCCCUUUUAAGAAAAAAGUAUCACCAAAACACCCCUGCUGGGUCAGUUUACCAUCCAAUUACUCUAUAUCAACAGUUCUAUUGCUUUUUUUGGAAGUUGGCAUUCCCCAGGAAGCAGAACUGCUUUUGGUGGUUCUUGUUGUUAUGUAAUAAAUCUAACUGGUAACUUUCAAGGAUGCUGAUAGGAGUUAAGAGAGACCAUUCCUCAAAUAUCACAGAACUUUCCUUUAUAUCCGAGUUACUGAUGAAUUUCUCCUAAGAAAUAUCUUAGGAAAUGUCACCAGAUUUGGGAACACUCCACAUCCAGAUGUUGCAUUUGUUUGUGGUGCUGGGUAACCCCAAAUAAGGAUAGGUUCAGUUACCUUCAGGGUUGAUUGAUACAAGGCAGUAAGACCAGAAUCCUUGGGGAAGGCUGUCCCUAGAAAAAUACCACUCAUUCUAUCUUAUGUCUUCACAAUGAACAGGAUGAUUACAUCUUCCUUUUUGGAAAUUUACUGAGUUUCUGUGUUUUAUGAUGCUGACCCAGCAGCUAUAACCAGGGCACUUUUGUCUUCUGCCUUUGCCAAAGAUGGCUCACAAUCAGUGCUGUGGUGCCAUCAUUAUCAUCAUCAUCACCACCACCAUCGUCACAUCAUCUUCACCAUCUUCAAUACCAUCACCAUAAUGAUGAGGCUUUUAUUCUGAAGCUCUGUUGUUUUCAAUGAAAAGACAUGGUCCCUACCCAAAAGGAACUUACAACACAAAUGAGAAAAAUUGAGCCAAAAUAAGACUGAAAACCCGGUAACAUGUAGAAUGAUGAUGACGGUGAUGAUAAGAAACAGCAAUUUACAUCCUUUUCUGAUUUUUUAUUUAAAAAUGAGAAAAUAAUAAAAAGCCACAGAUAGAGUUAAUUUAGGAAAAUAGGAGAGUUUUUGAUGUUCCCAGUGAACAAGAUAUUGUUAACUGGCGGCUAUAAAAUGGCAAGUGGAUGAGCAUAAUGAAAACAGCUGAUGAAUAAAUAUGGGGUUAAAUCCAAGCCUAGAAAACCAGAAAAUAAAUGUGAGAUGAUUCAGUACCAACUGUAUUUUUGAUAGGCUCAUUGAUUUUUACAAAGUGCCACUGAGACAAUAGUGCCUGGAAUCAGUGGCUUCCCGCCUUGUCUGCCACUUACUGUGUAUUCAGAGUUAAGCUAUGUUACCUCCCUAAUGUUGUUUUCCCAUUAUAAAAUAGGGGGAAUAGGCUGUGUGACUAUUAAAUGAGAGAAUCCAUCUAAUGCAUUUAAUACAGUCCCUGGUGCAUAAGUGCUCAGGAAGCAUUAAGCCUCAUUAGAGGUAGUUAAUGUAAGGCAGUGGUUAAGAGGAUAAGCUCCAGUCCAGUAGGACCAAAGCAUCAACAAUAAUCUCUAUUUAACUGCUUUUUUUUUUGUCUCAAGAGUUUGAAAAUGAACCGGCUUGUGUCUUUGAAUUUCUUUAAGAUAAUCAUGAAUUUGUCAAAGGCAUUCAUGAAGUGCUUCUGGGAAGGCCAGAGUUCUCUAUUAAGACUUUUUGAUUACAAAAGGCUCUUAGAGAGUAGCGGCUAUCUACUAUUAAUGAAGCCACAUACAUAUUCAUCAUUAAGAUGACAGAACUAAAAGGGCAAAUCUUUACCUUAAAAAAUGUAAUGUUGGAUAUUUAGCGUCCAUUGCAACGUGACCUUUGUAACCCUCAGAAUUGUCCUUAUGGUGGGAGCUGGAGAGAAGAGACAGAGAAUCUGAACAUAUGUGACAUUCCCUGAUAUUUAUAGCAAAGUCAAGAACUUUUUACCCAGCAUUCAGAGGCUUUAGCAUGAUGAAAUUAGUAAAAAUAUACAUUUUAAAAACUAGUAUUUAUUGUUGUCAUAUUAUAAAAUUAAAUAAUGUUUAUUUUAGAAAAUUUAGAAACAACAAAAGAGAAGAAAGCACAAAUCUUAACAUUUUAGUAUAUUUCAGUUUUUAUAUAAAUGGCUACAUUUAACUAUUAAAACAUUUAUAGUUUUAAGAUGAAUCUUUUAAUUUCUAUGUUUCUAAAGAAUCAGGAAGUCAAUUUACUUUGGUUUGCUGGGCAUUGGUUUUUAUCAGAAGAUAACCAAAAUUAGUGUGUGUGCUUUUUUCCUUUUGAGUUCCUGCAGGAUAGAAUCUUGCUACUCAACGUGUGGCCCAGGAACCUAUAGCAUUGGUAUCAACUGAGAAUAUACUAGAAAUGAAGAAUCUUCAGACCCAACACAGACCUAGUGAAUCCAACCUAUAUUUUAAUAUGAUUUCUUGGUGAUUGUAUGCACAUUAAAUUUUGAGUAGCAUUACUGUAGAAACAACUUGACAAAGUUUUUUGUUUUUUGUUUUUUUUGCCUAAUAAGACAGUGUCGAAGGCCUGAUUAGUCCCUCUUCUCAGAACAUCCUCCCCUACCAGACAGUCAGCAGCUUCCUGGGCUCUCACUUCCACAAAGCAUUGUUGGAACAAGUCUGAUUAAAGACUCACCAAACAGCUAGGAGAUGAAAGACACAAAAUGAGUCUGGGACAUUCCAAAAUGUCAGUAAGACUCUGCACAUCUAAGGGCUGUAUUGUUCAGCAUUUUAUUACAUUUUCAAAGUACUCUUCCUGGGCUCACUGUUGAAUGACCAGGAAAUGGUGUUGAACCAAUUGAAAAACCCAGCAAUAAAGUUCAUCAAUAGUUUCAUCAGUGGGGUGCAGGGGUUUAUUGAUGUGGAAAAUUGGGGCUGACUUAAAGCACAAACAGAAGGAAAACAUUCCAAAAACAACAUGUCCUGGAGGUAGAGCAGCUUCUAAGACGGGAGUAAACAUGUACUUCCUUAACCUCACAUCCCUUAUUUCCUGGAAUAGGAAUGCAGCUACAAAGCAGGAUUGUGGAAAUUUCCUGAUGAACAUGAUUAAUAAUAGUAAUAGCCUGCAGUUGACAGCAUUUUAUGAUACACACAGUGCUUCUCAAACUUUAAUAUGCAAACUUUCAUAUGGAGGUCUUGUUAAAAUGAGGUACCGAUUUUGUAGGUCUAGGUGUGGGGCCUGAGUUGGCCUUUCUAACAAAUCCCCAACUGGUGCUAAUGUUACUGGUCCACAAACCAUAUUUUGAGUAGCAGGUUCUUACCCCGACCUCUCUCAAGAUUCACAGAAAUUCUAUGAAGUAGGUAGAGGAGACAUUUUUCCUCCCUUCCUCAUCAGAAUAUUGGCUCUAUGAGGAUGAGAAUUUGGUGCGUUUUGAUCAUUGCUAUAUCCCAAUUGCCUAUAAUAGUAGGCACUCAAUAUAGUUUUGUUGGAUGAAUGAAUUACUGCAUCUUAAUUUUACAGAGGAAUUUAAAUAAUGUUUUAACCAAAGUCACAUUCUAAUAAGUGGCAAAGCUGGUAUUUGACCUAAGGAACUACUUAAAUCAGAGAGUUUGGCACCAAAGAAACUACUUUAGUGACGCUUUCUUCCUUCCCUCUCUCUCUCUCUCUUCUAUUUUGUAAAGGUAAACAUUUUUUGAAGGAACCUUUUACCGGUAAAUUGAAGUAUAACAGAAAAAUGGCCAAAUCAUAAGUGUAAAAUUGGUUAACUUAUACAGAGGAGUUUUACAGAACCAUCUUUCAUAUUUAGAAAUUACCAGUUCCCCAUAAACCUCCUUCAUACCCCCUCCCAGUUAUUAGUCUCUCUUUCAGAGAUAGAUGCCGUUAUAACUUCUAUCACCUUAGAAUAGUUUUGAACUUUAUAAAAGCAGAAUUUUAUAGUAUAUACUCUUUAGUUUACACCUCUUUCACUCAACAUUUUAUUUGUGCUCUUAAAUAUAACAGUAAUUUGCUCAUUUUCAUUUAAAUAGUAUUCCGUAUUGUAGAGUAUGCAUAUUCCACGAAUAUACCACAAUUUAUCAUACAUUUUAUUGUUGAUGGACAUUAGGAUUGAUUCUAGUUUUUUGCUAAUAUGCAUAGUGCUAUAGUGCUGCUAUGGGCAUUUUUGUACAUGGUUUUGGUGAUCAUCUGUACAUAUUUUCUAUUGGAUGUGUACUAGAAGUGAAUGUUUCAGAUUUUGGGUAUAUUUAGUUAUUAUAGAUAUUGCCAGCCAAACAGUUUUUCAAAGUGCUUGUAUUAAUUAAUUCUUUUGUCUUUUCUUUGAUUUUGUAAAAAUCAAAUUUUAUUCUGAUUCUAUCACUGAUGGCUCUUUAACUUUCUUAAGGUUAUUUUAUUCAUAUGUUAAAAUGAGCAUUUUAAUUCAUAGUUAAAAUACAUAUUAUUUGGCCAGUUGUUUUGGUCUCUAUAUGCCCAGUGAAUCAUUUACAGGUAUCCUGAGGAACUGAGGAACUUACAUGAAAGUGACCUUCUGUUGUUUUUUCUGUGAAUGAAAAUGUUCUGGGAAACACUGAAGAGGACAAAAGAGAGGGAACAGGAAGGAGGAGAACUUUUGGAUAUUCCCACAGAUGGAUGAUUAGUUGAUGAAUUAAGGAGAGUCCUUGUCCCUGGAUAAUUCAGAAUGAACUUAUUUUCCCUUCACUAGAGCAGCAACUUACUCUGGGUAGCUUCACAGUGAACAGUGAGGAGAAGGAAUCUUGUAUUAUAAUUAAAGAACCAUUGUCCUAUAAUUGACACAUAUGUUCAGGUGUGAGUCAUUGAAAAAUGAUCAUAUUCUUACUGUGAAAUGAGAAUGGUCCAGGUGCAGCUGGUUCCUCAGAGAAGGAAAACUCAGCAUGGUGCAAUACGUGUUACAGGCAAGGCAGUGGGUGUGGUUUGAGGUACCAUGUUGCUUCUGGCUCAAGUUCUUGGGUUUUAUUCCACCUCUUGCUUGUAAGCCCUCUAUUACUUGUGGCUAUCAGUAGAGCAGUUCUUCCCAAACUUGAGCCUCCAAAUUACCUGGAGAACUUCCUGAGUCCCACCUCCAGAGAUUUCUAAUUCAGUAGGUUUGCCUAGGGUCCAGAUUUUCAUUUUUAACCAGUUCCCAUGUGCUGCUGCUGCUGCUGCUUAGUGUGUGGGCCACGCUUCGUGGAGCACCCAGUAGAGGUUUUUGAGAGGUUUUGAGGAACGGAUGAGUUUAAUGGGAAAGACUGAGUGUGUCAGGUGCUCUGAGGGAUGAUAAUGAUGAUGAUGAUGAUGAUGAUUAUGAAAUAUAGCCUAAAACAGAAAAGUGUACAAAAUGCAUUUUAAAAAUAUGUAUUUGUUCAAUUUAAAGGAUAAUGUCUUAAAAAACUCAAUGUAUUCACCAGCCAGGUCAAGAAGUAGAACAUCCCAGUGCAUUAAGGUAUGCCUGGGGUAACUUGGCUAGCUCAUAUUUUGUUUGUUUGUUUGUUUCCAUCUAUAGUCAUGAUUGAGGUUGACUGUAAUUUUCCUUCUUUGUAUUACGUUGGCUAAUUUUUGGAAUCAAGGUUGUGCAAAGUGCAUAAAGAAUCAAGGAGUAUUUUUCUCUUUUCUAUAGUCUGGAAUAGUUGGUGUUAAAUUGGAAUUAAAUUGUAUUUAAAAAUCAAUUUAUAUGCAUUCAAUAGUCAAAUAUUCUUGCACCAUAUGAAGGAAAAUAUCUCAGAAAACCCAAGAGACUAAAGUGCUGACUCAGUAUCUUUAAUGGUUACAAAACUAUUAAAGUUUCCUACUUAUUGAAUCAGUUUUUGUAAGUGGUGCAUUUCUAAAUUACUUUUUAUUUCAACGAAGUUUUCUAAUAUAUUUUUCCUUCAUAUCCAAGGAUUCAACCAGUAUAUAUCAAAAAUACUGUUUUCAUCUGUGGUUGGGAAUUCCUGGUUGAGAAUCUGUGGUUGGAAAUGCUGAAAUACUGUUUUCAAUCAGGGGUUGGUUGAUCUGAGGAGGCAAAACCCAUCUAUAAGUGGACCUGCGAGGUACAAACGGGUGUUGUUCAAGGGUCAACUGUCCUCACCUAGCAGCUGUGGAAGAUAAGCCUUAAAUGUAAGAUCCCUUGCUUAUUAAACCCAAUCUGGAAUGAC